GUUCAGUGACACAGACUGCAGUGUGCUCAACUAUUUCAUCUGUCACAUCACGGAUCCAGUGAGGGAGAGGCAGAUAAUGAAGCUGCGCGUGAAGUCUGACGGGAGCAUCUUUGAUUCUGAUGUGCAGUCGAGCAUUUUAGAGCUGAUCAAGCAGAAGCUGGAGGAAAAUGGCAUGCUGGAGAACACCACAGUGACCUGGAGGAAGCAGUCGGAUGGACAAAUCUUUCACAAGGAAAAAAACGCUCCCUAGAUGCUACUAAUGUACCAACGUGCUGAUAAAGUAAAUGUGGAGUGUCUGAGGCAAUGGAAAAGGAACAAGCACAGAAUUUCUUUCAUUACUAAAAUGUCUGUUGGUAAUAAUGUGGGUUAUAGUUUAUCUCCUGUUGAUUAUGUCUAUAUUAU
This is a long non-coding RNA of Ictalurus furcatus (blue catfish), 402 nucleotides long. RefSeq lists it as uncharacterized. The record is from RefSeq and is a predicted model, not a curated record. The transcript is spliced from 3 exons. NCBI's taxonomy places the organism in Eukaryota, Metazoa, Chordata, Actinopteri, Siluriformes, Ictaluridae.